UACGUAGGGCGCAAGCGUUGUCCGGAUUUAUUGGGCGUAAAGAGCUCGUAGGCGGUUUGUCGCGUCUUCCGUGAAAACUGGGGGCUUAACUUCCAGCUUGCGGUGGAUACGGGCUGACUGGAGUGCGGCAGGGGAGACUGGAAUUCCCGGUGUAGCGGUGAAAUGCGCAGAUAUCAGGAGGAACACCGGUGGCGAAGGCGGGUCUCUGGGCCGUUACUGACGCUGAGGAGCGAAAGCGUGGGGAGCGAACAGG
RNAcentral lists this ribosomal RNA (253 nucleotides) under uncultured bacterium. RNAcentral describes it as "partial 16S ribosomal RNA". It matches the Rfam family "Bacterial small subunit ribosomal RNA", at positions 524 to 776 of the family's 1533-position model. The record is from RNAcentral.